CCUACGGGCGGCAGCAGUGGGGAAUAUUGCACAAUGGGGGGAACCCUGAUGCCGCAACGCCGCGUGGGUGAAGAAGUACUUCGGUAUGUAAAGCCCUGUCAGCAGUGAAGAAAAUGACGGUACCUGAACAAGAAGCACCGGCUAACUACGUGCAAGCAGCCGCGGUAAGACGUAGGGGGCAAGAGUUAUCCGGAUUUACUGGGUGUAAAGGGAGCGUAGACGGCAAGGCAAGUCGGGAGUGAAAGCCCGUGGCGCAACCACGGGACUGCUUUGGAAACUGUGUUGCUGGAGUGCAGGAGGGGUAAGCGGAAUUCCUAGUGUAGCGGUGAAAUGCGUAGAUAUUAGGAGGAACACCGGUGGAGAAGGCGGCUUACUGGACUGUAACUGACGUUGAGGCUCGAAGGCGUGGGGAGCAAACAGGAUUAGAUACCCUAGUAGUC
RNAcentral lists this ribosomal RNA (440 nucleotides) under uncultured bacterium. RNAcentral's name for it is "partial 16S ribosomal RNA". It matches the Rfam family "Bacterial small subunit ribosomal RNA", at positions 338 to 795 of the family's 1533-position model. The record is from RNAcentral.